CGCAUCUGUGCAUGCAGCAUAUCAAUAAGCGGAGGAAAAGAAACUAACAAGGAUUCCCCUAGUAACGGCGAGUGAAGCGGGAAGAGCUCAAAUUUGAAAUCUUAAAGGGUUUCCCUUUACGAAUUGUAGUUUAAAGAAGUGUUUUCUGUUGAGGUUUUGGUAAAAGUUCUUUGGAAUAGGACAUCAUAGAGGGUGAGAAUCCCGUAUUUGACCUUUACUUUCAACUUUGUGAUACACUUUCAAAGAGUCGGAUUGUUUGGGAAUGCAGUCCAAAAUGGGUGGUAAAUUUCAUCUAAAGCUAAAUAUUGGCGAGAGACCGAUAGCGAACAAGUACCGUGAGGGAAAGAUGAAAAGAACUUUGAAAAGAGAGUUAAACAGUACGUGAAAUUGUCAAAAGGGAAGCGUUUGACACCAGUGUUGUUUUUCUGAAAAUCAAUUAAAGAACUGUUUAUGCUAAGUUGUUUAGACUUUAUCAGCUAACUGUUUAGUUUUGAGCUUUUCCUUUAAUGCACUUUUCAGUUAACAAGUCAACAUCAAUUUCUUUUGCUGUAAAAAAGCUUGAGGAAGGUGGCUUGAGAUUCGUCUUAAGUGUUUAUAGCCUCUUGCCUAUGCAGUCGGAGAGAUUGAGGUCUGCAGCGUAGAUCCUUCGGGGCUAAAUGCAUUUGUGCUAAGUUAUAGCAUUUUAUAGACAACUUGUUGACUAUGAUUUGUCUUGUAGCUUACUCGCUUAUGUUAUUUUACCUACGCUUAGGAUGUUGACAGCAGUAUAGACUGU
This 775-nucleotide ribosomal RNA is filed under the name uncultured Neocallimastigales. RNAcentral's name for it is "partial large subunit ribosomal RNA". It matches the Rfam family "Eukaryotic large subunit ribosomal RNA", at positions 26 to 637 of the family's 3401-position model. The record is from RNAcentral. Lineage: Eukaryota; Fungi; Neocallimastigomycota; Neocallimastigomycetes; Neocallimastigales.